This 253-nucleotide ribosomal RNA is filed under the name uncultured bacterium. RNAcentral's name for it is "partial 16S ribosomal RNA". It matches the Rfam family "Bacterial small subunit ribosomal RNA", at positions 524 to 776 of the family's 1533-position model. RNAcentral also lists the same sequence under 1 other name. The record is from RNAcentral.
GACAGAGGAUGCAAGCGUUAUCCGGAAUGAUUGGGCGUAAAGCGUCUGUAGGUGGUUUAUUAAGUCUACUGUUAAAGAUCAGGGCUUAACCCUGAGCAGGCAAUAGAAACUAAUAAGCUAGAGUACGGUAGGGGCAGAGGGAAUUCCCGGUGUAGCGGUGAAAUGCGUAGAGAUCGGGAAGAACACCAACGGCGAAAGCACUCUGCUGGGCCGAAACUGACACUGAGAGACGAAAGCUAGGGGAGCAAAUGGG